This 427-nucleotide ribosomal RNA is filed under the name uncultured bacterium. RNAcentral describes it as "partial 16S ribosomal RNA". It matches the Rfam family "Bacterial small subunit ribosomal RNA", at positions 355 to 774 of the family's 1533-position model. The record is from RNAcentral.
UGGGGAAUAUUGGACAAUGGGGGCAACCCUGAUCCAGCCAUGCCGCGUGUGUGAAGAAGGCCUUUUGGUUGUAAAGCACUUUAAGCAGUGAAGAAGACUCCAUGGUUAAUACCCAUGGACGAUGACAUUAGCUGCAGAAUAAGCACCGGCUAACUCUGUGCCAGCAGCCGCGGUAAUACAGAGGGUGCAAGCGUUAAUCGGACUUACUGGGCGUAAAGCGAGCGUAGGUGGCUUGAUAAGUCAGAUGUGAAAGCCCCGGGCUUAACCUGGGAACGGCAUCUGAUACUGUUAGGCUAGAGUAGGUGAGAGGAAGGUAGAAUUCCAGGUGUAGCGGUGAAAUGCGUAGAGAUCUGGAGGAAUACCGAUGGCGAAGGCAGCCUUCUGGCAUCAUACUGACACUGAGGUUCGAAAGCGUGGGUAGCAAACA